Molecule: ribosomal RNA, 485 nt
Filed under: Vibrio alginolyticus
Lineage: Bacteria; Pseudomonadati; Pseudomonadota; Gammaproteobacteria; Vibrionales; Vibrionaceae
Also listed under: 1 other name
Description: bacterial SSU rRNA
Rfam family: Bacterial small subunit ribosomal RNA
Source: RNAcentral
AAAUUGAAGAGUUUGAUCAUGGCUCAGAUUGAACGCUGGCGGCAGGCCUAACACAUGCAAGUCGAGCGGAAACGAGUUAUCUGAACCUUCGGGGGACGAUAACGGCGUCGAGCGGCGGACGGGUGAGUAAUGCCUAGGAAAUUGCCCUGAUGUGGGGGAUAACCAUUGGAAACGAUGGCUAAUACCGCAUGAUGCCUACGGGCCAAAGAGGGGGACCUUCGGGCCUCUCGCGUCAGGAUAUGCCUAGGUGGGAUUAGCUAGUUGGUGAGGUAAGGGCUCACCAAGGCGACGAUCCCUAGCUGGUCUGAGAGGAUGAUCAGCCACACUGGAACUGAGACACGGUCCAGACUCCUACGGGAGGCAGCAGUGGGGAAUAUUGCACAAUGGGCGCAAGCCUGAUGCAGCCAUGCCGCGUGUGUGAAGAAGGCCUUCGGGUUGUAAAGCACUUUCAGUCGUGAGGAAGGUGGUAGUGUUAAUAGCACUAU